GCAACAUUCGGACCGUCAGUCAACCGAGCUAUAUUACCGACACGGUGGAAGAUCUUACCUUUGUCAU
Molecule: microRNA precursor, 67 nt
Filed under: Bombyx mori (domestic silkworm)
Lineage: Eukaryota; Metazoa; Arthropoda; Insecta; Lepidoptera; Bombycidae
Description: mir-2774 microRNA precursor family
Rfam family: mir-2774 microRNA precursor family
Source: Rfam by way of RNAcentral